GUGACAAAGACUUUUAAAACUUUCCCACCAUAUCCCAGAAUACAGUUCGUACAGCAUCAUUGCUACAUCAUUGCUACAUCACUGACAUGUCACAAAAGGGGAGAGGUUAACCUUGGCAAACAUGUCCAGACAAGUCCUUGGUACAAGAUUAGCAUAAGCAGACAUGGCAGGGCAAGACUCAGGUAUAAGAUUAGCAUAGACAAAUAUGUCUUAAGUACCCACCACCCAAAAGUACAAUAGAAGUUCCUUUGCAUGUCUGGAGCCUGAGGCGAGUCAGGUGAUGAGAUUUGGCUUCCCUUGGCUAACAAGGAGCCCAGCAAUUAUCACCUCUGGGAACUUCCUGGGGUCCCUUUUCAAGGGGAAAAUAGCUUUGGAAUGGAGGAAACUGGGAAAGGAGAUGAUUUUAUAUUAUUUUUAAAGCUAGGUGACUUCCCUGAGCUGUCAAGUUGAAAGGAUAUAUUCAGGCAUAAUAUUUGUAAUAUGUAACUUUAAAGAUGUGCCCCCCCCCCGUAAUUUCCAUAACAGUCCGGCCCCCCACAAUGUCUGAGGGACAGUGGACCUGCCCCCUGCUGAAAAAGUUUGCUGACCGCUGCUAAACAGUUGAAGAAAGUUUUCUUUUAACUAGCUUUUCAAGCCAGAUGGAAAUGUAUCUAAUUUAGAUGUUCUUUUUCCCUACUGAAUUUGAUAUCAUAUGUGGCUGCUUUGCAUUAUUUUUUUUAAAAAAACGUUAUCAUGUUUCACCGUAUUGUAAAUUGCCCUGUGGUGAGAUAUUCGUGUUUAAAUAUAAAUAAAUAAAUGGGUGAAUAUACAGUGGGUCUCAUCAUAAUGCAGCAGACAGAAAUCAGGAGACUUGUCUGUUUGAUUCAGACUGUGAUCCAGUUGCUCAUUGCUGAUGGGCAACUUCAAAGCCCAGCAGACACAGAAGAUUAGGAGAAGACACCACUGAGGAAGCUGUAUCUCUCUCUAAGGGUUGCAGUUGAGCCUCACAAACUACCAGGAGCCUCACAAACUAGAUUUCUCACAGAAAUGGGCACUUUCUGCUCCCCCUCGCCCUCUGCAGCAACUGAUGUUCAGAGACACCCCGUCAGUCCUAUUAUCCAUCACAUCUGUGCUUCGAUUUGAAGAAACAUUUCCAUUUUAUAUACUUAUUUCCUUCCAAUCCAGUUCAGCCCCCUCCCUCCCAAGGUCUUCCUUCCAAAACCUCGCCUUCUCUCAGCCACCCUUUCACUGGUUGUCCCGUUUACUCUUUCCACCUCCUGAUGGCUCUCCAACUGGACCCUAUUUUGGACAGAGGUGACUUGGCAACUGCACUCCAGGCUCUGGUAACUUCCAGGCUGGGUUACUGCAAUGUCUUCUGUUUGGAGCUUCCCUUAAAGGUGACUCAGAAACUUCCAUGGGUCCAGAUUACGGGCUGGGGCUCCAUCCACCUCUGAUAUAAAUCCUAAACCCUUGUUAAACCACUUGGACCACAGAACAGCUUCUGGGUUAGUGGUGAAUGUCACAUCAGCAGAUUCCUUGAGACCAUGAGCCCUUCCUUCAGAUACACUUGCCUCCCCUCCUUCCUCUCUCCCCAUAUACACACAAAGGUACACGGGGAUUGUUUAUUGUGAAUUUAGUCCUGUAACCAUUAACAUUAUCUGCAUUUAUGUACUUUUUAUUAUUCUGCAGCCUCGUGACAGCAGGUGUAUGAUUUAUCCCAUGUGAAAUCUUGUAUGAAUUCCAUGAAGUUUAGCAACAGUGGUGCUCUAAUUAAACUGCUUUCCUCAUUACAAGCAUCUAAA
Podarcis lilfordi (Lilford's wall lizard) is the source of this 1781-nucleotide non-coding RNA. The record is from the annotation of a GenBank genome assembly. NCBI's taxonomy places the organism in Eukaryota, Metazoa, Chordata, Lepidosauria, Squamata, Lacertidae.